UUGAACAUAACGGCACUUGAUUGGCGAUAAAAAAAAUUAGGUUUAAUUUUCACGUGCGUUUACAACAUAAAAAAACUGAAUGUAAUAAGAUCUGUAACAAAAAUGAGAGAAGAGCAGAUCUUGAGACUAUGGCGGCAGAUGAAGAAGAAACAUGGCGCAGACAGAAUAUCGAAGCACGAAUGGAAGAUCUUACGCGCAGACUUCCUAAGGAGUUGGAACACACUAACAUUCGAUAAGUUUUCUAAAGAUCAAUUGGCCGAAGCUACUUUGCGCGAAGAACUGCAAGAGACGACUCGGGCGUACUCUGGCCUUGAAAAAGGACUUGCAUCGCGUCUAUCAACGCGUAGACGAAGCACUAAACUUGAGACCAACCCGAUAGCAACUUCUGAAGGAUCUAUUCCGCCUGCUCAGGAGAACACUGGCUCAUCACAGCGUAAGCCCAGUUCGCUUCCUUUGGUCCUCUUUGGGCUUGAAAAGGACCAAACGCAAUCAUCAAAGCCAAGCCGCAGCGCGGUCAAAGCUCGGAAACCAGUAGCAACGCCUGACAAAUUAAUUGCGCUUCCUCGAGAGCCCACUAGCCUUGAAAAUGGUGACCAAUCGCGAUUAUUGAAUCGUAGACCCAAUUCCAGAGGUACACCAAAACUGGCACCGACUACUGACGGACACAUUGAGCUUGAAACAGGGGACCAAAAGCGAGCAUCAAAGGCUAGCCAAAGCAGAGUUAAAACUGAGGUUAAAUUGUCAGCGAUCUCUGACAGCUCUGUUCCGCCUACUCAGGAAAUCACUGGCUCAUCAAAGCGUAAACCCAUGUCGCUUCUUCUGGACCACUCGGAGCCUGAAAGCACGGACCAAUCGCAAUUGUUGAAUUGCAGGCCCAGUUCCAGGCCUAGACCAAAACUGGCACCGAUUCCUGACGGACACAUUGAGCUGGAAAAAAGAGACAAAAAGCGAGCACCCAAGCCUACACAAAACCCAAAACACAAAAAAUUCAUGAGUGAGGUAAAAUCGGCAGCGAUUUUUUACAGCUCUAUUCCGCCUACUCAGGAGCACACUGGCUCUUCACCUCCUCUAGACCGUGCUGGCACUGAAAAGGGAGAAAAAUCGCAGUCACCAAAGCAUAUAACGAGUUUGCUUCCUCUGGAUUUACUUGGGACUGAAAAGGGGGAUCAAUCAGGAUCAUCAAAGCAUACCUCUGUUAAACCACGGACAAAAUCGCCGGCGACUCCUGACGGAGAUAUUCCGCCAUCGACUCUUAAAGGAUCUAUUCCGUCCAGCCCUGUACUUGAAGAGGCGGACUUUUCGUGUUCAUGGAAGCUUACAAAGUCUCGUAAACAGCGCGAUCGCAUCUUAGAAAGGCAACGUGAAGAUGUCGAAAACUUCCUUGAUGAUGUGCCCUUGUUUGAAUUGCGGAAGCACGUAACCAAAACAAAUGGGACUGAAACUGAGGGAAAAAAUAAUAAAACCAUAGAAAACAAUAGCCCCUCAAAGUCUCCAGUUAAGCGUAAACCAGCAGACACCAUACCAAUCCCACUGCAGCCAAUCAAGAGAAGGAGACAAAAACAUGUUCCAGUAAAAGUUGUACGCUGUAUUUUGGAAUAUAUACAUCCUAAUAGAUUUUUUUUGUUGCCACAGAUUAGCCACCAUUUGGAGAGCGUUCCUUUCAUGCCUAAGAUUGAAAUGGUUCCUGCUCCUACCGAUUUAAGCACUGACAUAUUGGAGGAAUCUGCAGAGAUAGGGAUAGCUGUGCGAAAGAUCCAAGAGCUCAUGGAUUUAGAAAAGGAAGCAGAAAUAGUGGACGAUGAUCCGGAGUUUGUCGAGAGUCCCAUAACGGCGUGCUGUACUGACAAAAAGAUCGAUUUAAGCCACGAGAACAAUGUAGAGCACACUGAGAUAAUGACUCUUUUCGAAUUGGGUGAUGAAGGCGAUCGUACACCUGAAAUAGAUCGUUGCCUGAAAAUCUUUACCACUAAAACGCCAAGUGAAAUCGACGAUCAACUGGCCGUCACAACGGAGUUCUUCGAACGGUUGCCAAAUUCGUCCACAGUCGAUUUAGAAAAGGCAGACCUCAUGGAGGAGGAGGAGGAGGUCCUUGACUAUGAAGAGGAUGGAGACGUGGACGAUGAUGUCUUGUCGGUUACGGCGACAUCUUGGGAUGACAUGGAGGAGGAGGAAAAACAACCAGAGCCCUCAAAAGCUUCAUUGAGAAAUUUUCGUAUACCUCGACUUACCAAAGAAAUACUCCAGUCGCAGCCGAAAAUAAUGUGCUCGCUGUACAACAAUGAGGCACUCAACGAAAAGGAACAAGAGGAGCCACAGAGGCAGACAUUAAAGCAACGAAAAUCAUCAGGGUCUGCUACAUCUACACCAUCUGCUUCACCAUUCGUGCCUCCUCUAGCAUUGGCGUCUGCUCUACCAUUGGAGGCUACCCCAAUAAUCCAGCCGCUGUACGACCAGAGGCAGAACAUAUUUGGCCAUAACGCGAAUCCAGUGGCUCCAGCUAUAACUUUGGCGCCGCCUCCAGCUGCAGUACGCAAUCCAACAAUACACACGCUUAACGAAAAAGCACAGAGGAAGAUAAAGGGAAUUUCACUUACGCAAACUCAAUAUUCAGUGCCUCCUUCAGCUCUAUCUAUAGCGCCGUCUCAAACUUUAGUACGUAGUCCACUAGUAAAUUCGACAAACGACCAGGAAGGGAGAAAGAUUCAUGUGAAUUCACUUGCACAAAACAUAUAUACAGCGCCUUCUCCAGCUUCAGUCGCACAAACGCUAUAUUCAGCGCCUCCUCAAACCAUAAGUCCCCGACAGGAUAACCGAACAUUGACGAUGCAGCAGGCUGCAACAGUAAUGCCAUCGCUUGGCAAUCCACGUACCCAGGCAAUUACUGCUCGGCAUGUGAUCGAACCCGUACCGAAAUUUGAUGCGCCUUAUCGUUCAACUGCUGCGACUAUGCAAACUAUUCGUACGGACAGGACCAAGUGGUUUAGUGAUGAGUACUGGAUGUUGAAUUUGUUUGGAGUCAAGUGCUUGGAAAAUCUAGACGAUGUGUGCAGCGCCCAAAGCUGUAAUCAUACAUUCACCGGCAUCGGAGAGUUAAGCCGGAAACUGAUGAGACUGGAUGUGGAUAGCCUGUUAUUCACAUAUCAACAAAUGCUAAUGCGUAGUCAACGUCUCUUCCUGACAUUCGCUCCGGUUUAUGUUGAUAUAUUUGAAGCUAAAAAUCUGCAGAACGACUUGCUGCACUUGCUGAUGGAUUGUCGAUUGUACAAGUCACUUUGUGCUUCCAUUAUUAAUAAAGCCUUUACUGCCUUGAAAAACAUGGGCUUGGAAACGCAGGCCACACUUUGCAUUAUGGAAUACCUAUGGAUGCCUCGUAAAGCGCACAACUUUACGGAAACGACGUUAACAAUAUUAAAAGUUCUUGGAUCCUCUAAUUGGUACAACUAUACUGAUAAAAUGGUAGAACUAUGCCAGAUAUAUGGGGUCAGUUUACCAACUGAGGUAUUAUUAACCAUUCUCUCGGCGGCCAACGAGAGACACGAAUUGAAAAGCGAGGCAGUAAAGUUCUUUUUGGUCAUGGGUGUGGCCCCUGAGGAAUUGAGAGAAGAGCUGACGGCUGCUAUCAAGCUAUUUGCGGAAAAAGAUAAUUAAUUCUUAUGCUGUUGAUCAGCAGAAUCCAACCCUAAUGAAGAUGUAUUUAGGUUCGGAAUUAUAACAUCCCAUCGGACUUGGUAUCAUUACGACGGUAAUGAUAUUAAAACUCAUAUUUAGAAAUUUACAAACAUGUUUGUAUUACGAACACUAUGAUAAUUAAAUAAAACAGGACAUAAGAAAAUAGGUGUGUACUUGCAAUAUUUCCUGCUUUCAGUUGUUCACUUUUUUCUUGCCGACAGUUCCUACCUAUUACCUAUGGAUCCCCAGUAAAGCGCAUGAGUUCAAGUAAAUGACUAUAACAAUGUUUCGAGUUGUAACUGACACAAUGGUUCUCUUUACCAACUGAGAUAUGGAGAACCAUUCUUAUGUCGCUCAUGCGAAUCGACCCUGGGGCGAAAAUCCGAGAGCUGAAGGCACAGUUUAUCAAGCUUGGAUUCAAUGAAGCCCUUAAUAGAAAGAAGCCACACUUCAUACGGCGACAUACUCUUGAGCCCUUCUUACGCUCCCUGAGAGCUAAAUGCAACUGAAGAGA
This 4183-nucleotide unclassified non-coding RNA is filed under the name Drosophila pseudoobscura pseudoobscura. RNAcentral describes it as "GA25473". Lineage: Eukaryota; Metazoa; Arthropoda; Insecta; Diptera; Drosophilidae. The record is from RNAcentral.